RNAcentral lists this ribosomal RNA (1489 nucleotides) under uncultured bacterium. RNAcentral's name for it is "bacterial SSU rRNA". It matches the Rfam family "Bacterial small subunit ribosomal RNA". The record is from RNAcentral.
AGAGUUUGAUCCUGGCUCAGAACGAACGCUGGCGGCGUGGCUAAGGCAUGCAAGUCGAGCGAACCAAUUUUGAGGGUAACUGAGAGAUUGGUUAGCGGCGGACGGGUGAGGAAUACAUGGGUAACGUGCCCCGGACUCAGGGAUAGCGUUCCGAAAGGAACGGUAAUACCUGAUGACCCCGUAGGAUCGCAUGAUCCAGCGGGCAAAGUUCCGGCGGUCUGGGAGCGGCUCAUGUCCUAUCAGCUAGUUGGCGGGGUAACGGCCCACCAAGGCUGCAACGGGUACCGGGCGUGAGAGCGCGACCCGGCACAUCGGAACUGAGAUACGGUCCGGACACCUACGGGUGGCUGCAGCAACGAAUAUUCCGCAAUGGACGAAAGUCUGACGGAGCGACGCCGCGUGCAGGAUGAAGUCCCUCGGGAUGUAAACUGCUGUCAGGGGUUAGGAAAUUUGACCAGCCCCAGAGGAAGCCACGGCUAACUCCGUGCCAGCAGCCGCGGUAAUACGGAGGUGGCAAGCGUUGUUCGGAAUUACUGGGCUUAAAGCGCGUGUAGGCGGGACGGAAAGUGUCGGGUGAAAGCCCUUGGCUCAACCAAGGAACUGCUUGGCAUACUUCCGUUCUUGAGGUAGGUAGAGGUCGCUAGAACGACGGGUGGAGCGGUGAAAUGCGUAGAUACCCGUUGGAAUGCCGGAGGCGAAAGCGGGCGACUGGACCUAUCCUGACGCUGAGACGCGAAAGCGUGGGGAGCAAACAGGAUUAGAUACCCUGGUAGUCCACGCCGUAACGAUGCGCACUAGGAAUGAGAGGCUCUGACGCCGAUCGUUCCGAAGCAAAAGUGCUAAGUGCGCCGCCUGGGGAGUACGGCCGCAAGGCUAAAACUCAAAGGAAUUGACGGGGGCUCACACAAGCGGUGGAGUAUGUGGAUUAAUUCGAAGCAACGCGCAGAACCUCACCUGGGUUUGACAUGCUAGGAUGCCCUUUGGGAAACUAGAGUAAGCUGCCUUCGGGUGAAACUAGCACAGGUGCUGCAUGGCUGUCGUCAGCUCGUGCUGUGAAGUGUCGGGUUAAGUCCCUUAACGAGCGAAACCCCUAUCGUUAGUUGCCAACGGGUCAUGCCGGGAACUCUAGCGAGACCGCCGGUGUCAAACCGGAGGAAGGCGGGGAUGACGUCAAGUCAUCAUGGCCUUUAUGCCCAGGGCGUCACACGUACUACAAUGGGUGCGACAGAGCGAAGCGAGACCGUGAGGUGGAGCAAAUCGCACAAACGCAUCCUCAGUUCAGAUCGGAGUCUGCAACCCGACUCCGUGAAGUUGGAAUCGCUAGUAAUCGCGGAUCAGCCACGCCGCGGUGAAUGUGUUCCUGAGCCUUGUACACACCGCCCGUCAAGUCAUGGGAGUUGGGAGUACCCGAAGUCCGUUUAGCAAACCGAAACGAUGCGGCGGCCGACGGUAAGCCCGAUGACUGGGACUAAGUCGUAACAAGGUAACC